UCGGGUGUAGUGCACGGCGCACGGCGGCUUCAUUUAUAGUAGUAGAGAGGAGAAAUGUAAGCCGCAGCCCUGGGUUCGACUCCCCGCACCCGAC
Molecule: non-coding RNA, 94 nt
Organism: Mycena vulgaris
Lineage: Eukaryota; Fungi; Basidiomycota; Agaricomycetes; Agaricales; Mycenaceae
Source: the annotation of a GenBank genome assembly